Molecule: transfer RNA, 87 nt
Filed under: Geothermobacter hydrogeniphilus
Lineage: Bacteria; Pseudomonadati; Thermodesulfobacteriota; Desulfuromonadia; Desulfuromonadales; Geothermobacteraceae
Description: Geothermobacter sp. EPR-M tRNA-Leu
Rfam family: tRNA
About the family: Transfer RNA (tRNA) molecules are approximately 80 nucleotides in length. Their secondary structure includes four short double-helical elements and three loops (D, anti-codon, and T loops).
Source: RNAcentral
GCCGAAGUGGUGGAACUGGUAGACACGCCGUCUUGAGGGGGCGGUGGCUCAACGGCCGUGCGAGUUCGAGUCUCGCCUUCGGCACCA